ACAACGCAUAAAAACGGGAGAGAACAGAGCAAAGGAAAAGUGAAAGAGAUUUUCAAAAAAGUUGUUUUUAAAAAGAGAGAUUUUCGAUACAAAAGAUUGGGCAAGCCAUCUUUAAAGGACUAUUAGAAACAGAAAUGUAAAUUCUCACUUAGGUUAAAAAUUAAAAAUCACAAAUUCUUAAACAUAGGAAAGAUCUACUUUUACAGCUAAAGCCCAAAAGUGGAAGUAACUGUAGAGUUCAGCUGAUGAUGUAAUGUAUAAUCACACCCACAAUAUUCACAACUAACAACAACAACUACCCAGUAUAGUCCCACAAAGUGAGGUCUAGGGAGGGUAAUAUGUAGACGAGCCUUACCCCUACCCGAAAGGGAAGAGAGGCUGUUUCCAAUCGACCCUCGGCUCAGUGAAGGAAAACUAACUACCCAGUAUAGUCCCACAAAGUGAGGUCUAGGGAGGGUAAUAUGUAGACGGGCCUUACCCCUACCCGAAAGGCCCAGAGAGGCUGUUUCCAAUCGACCCUCGGCUCAAUAUUCACAACUAACAACAGCAUAGAAAAUUAUGUGAAAGGCAAUUCACAGAAACCCAGAACUCCAUUUGUUAAGGUUUACAUUGGAUUGGAUUUUUGAGUACUAACCUUUUUCUAGAUAGCCGGGAAAUCCCCAAGGGCCCGGGCGCAUCUAAAAUUCGGUGAAUAAUGAGCCCGCCCCUCUACCCCUCUCUACUUAAAUACCAGGACAGUCUGCGGCAGGUUCGAACUCAUGGCGUGCGCCUAACUCACACAUCACGAGUUACACUGUUACCACUAGACCAAAACCAUGGGGGUGAUUAUACAGUACCUACU
This 841-nucleotide long non-coding RNA is filed under the name Nicotiana benthamiana. RNAcentral describes it as "long non-coding RNA (NBEN_LNC027549)". The record is from RNAcentral. Lineage: Eukaryota; Viridiplantae; Streptophyta; Magnoliopsida; Solanales; Solanaceae.